GGCGUAAGGGCUCGCAGGCGGUUUCUUAAGUCUGAUGUGAAAGCCCCCGGCUCAACCGGGGAGGGUCAUUGGAAACUGGGGAACUUGAGUGCAGAAGAGGAGAGUGGAAUUCCACGUGUAGCGGUGAAAUGCGUAGAGAUGUGGAGGAACACCAGUGGCGAAGGCGACUCUCUGGUCUGUAACUGACGCUGAGGAGCGAAAGCGUGGGGAGCGAACAGGAUUAGAUACCCUGGUAGUCCACGCCGUAAACGAUGAGUGCUAAGUGUUAGGGGGUUUCCGCCCCUUAGUGCUGCAGCUAACGCAUUAAGCACUCCGCCUGGGGAGUACGGUCGCAAGACUGAAACUCAAAGGAAUUGACGGGGGCCCGCACAAGCGGUGGAGCAUGUGGUUUAAUUCGAAGCAACGCGAAGAACCUUACCAGGUCUUGACAUCCUCUGACAAUCCUAGAGAUAGGACGUCCCCUUCGGGGGCAGAGUGACAGGUGGUGCAUGGUUGUCGUCAGCUCGUGUCGUGAGAUGUUGGGUUAAGUCCCGCAACGAGCGCAACCCUUGAUCUUAGUUGCCAGCAUUCAGUUGGGCACUCUAAGGUGACUGCCGGUGACAAACCGGAGGAAGGUGGGGAUGACGUCAAAUCAUCAUGCCCCUUAUGACCUGGGCUACACACGUGCUACAAUGGACAGAACAAAGGGCAGCGAAACCGCGAGGUUAAGCCAAUCCCACAAAUCUGUUCUCAGUUCGGAUCGCAGUCUGCAACUCGACUGCGUGAAGCUGGAAUCGCUAGUAAUCGCGGAUCAGCAUGC
This 799-nucleotide ribosomal RNA is filed under the name Bacillus subtilis. RNAcentral describes it as "bacterial SSU rRNA". It matches the Rfam family "Bacterial small subunit ribosomal RNA", at positions 557 to 1357 of the family's 1533-position model. The record is from RNAcentral. Lineage: Bacteria; Bacillati; Bacillota; Bacilli; Caryophanales; Bacillaceae.